GGUUCAGUAGCUCAGUUGGUAGAGCGCAAGCCUGUUAAGCUUGAUGUCGGUGGUUCGAGUCCACUCUGGAUCG
RNAcentral lists this transfer RNA (73 nucleotides) under Bacteroidetes bacterium GWE2_42_42. RNAcentral's name for it is "tRNA-Asn". It matches the Rfam family "tRNA". From Rfam's summary of the family: Transfer RNA (tRNA) molecules are approximately 80 nucleotides in length. Their secondary structure includes four short double-helical elements and three loops (D, anti-codon, and T loops). Further hydrogen bonds mediate the characteristic L-shaped molecular structure. tRNAs have two regions of fundamental functional importance: the anti-codon, which is responsible for specific mRNA codon recognition, and the 3' end, to which the tRNAs corresponding amino acid is attached (by aminoacyl-tRNA synthetases). tRNAs cope with the degeneracy of the genetic code in two manners: having more than one tRNA (with a specific anti-codon) for a particular amino acid; and 'wobble' base-pairing, i.e. permitting non-standard base-pairing at the 3rd anti-codon position. RNAcentral also lists the same sequence under 2 other names. The record is from RNAcentral. Lineage: Bacteria; Pseudomonadati; Bacteroidota.